CUCCUGUCGUCUCCAGGCAUCACAGCAGCUCUGACCUCUAACCUGGCCUGGGCCUUUCAUAUCCCCUCAGGCUGCAGAAAGCUUCUCUCAACCACUCUGGGCACCAGGAGCACGUCCCCUUCAGGGAUGUUCGGAUGAAGAAGGCAUUCUUGGAGCCAAGCUUUGCCCCAUCCGCACCUGUGGAAUGGAGAUGUAGCCCCAAGGUGCAGAGCUGGACCAGCCAAGUGCCUGGCACGUGGUAAGCAUUCCACAGACAUAUGUUGAAGGAAUGAACAUGUGACUCCAGGAAUGAAUGAAGGAACGCGGAAUUAAAAGGUGAUUUCAUCAGAUACUGCUCUGUGCUGUUCUGUAAUAUUUGCAAGGGUGACUCUGACCCUCCCGUUGAAGUUAUAAACUGCCAUCGAGACACAGUAAGAAUUCUGCAUCUUAUGUCUCCAUCACUACCACUAAAAGGCAUCCAGUUAUAGGCAUAAAUGCUCAAAGGAGCAUCUGAGUUCUUUGCUAAUACUUCUCUCACCCUCUAUUCUCCAUUUUUUACUUAUCUUCCACACCAAUGGAAGGAUUAUACCCCAGUCUGACUAUUAGAUGAUGAACCUGUCUUUUGUUUUUUCUGUUAUCAGGACUUACUCUUUGCUGAGGGCCCAAUAAAUAAAUGAAUAAAUAAAAAAGUAUAUCUGGA
Molecule: long non-coding RNA, 679 nt
Filed under: Sus scrofa (pig)
Lineage: Eukaryota; Metazoa; Chordata; Mammalia; Artiodactyla; Suidae
Description: lncRNA (ENSSSCG00070012156.1)
Source: RNAcentral